AUGUAUUCAUAUACGCUGCUCCACGAUGAACCCCAUGGGCCAUGGCUAUUGUCCCUUCCUCAUCUGAUCGGUCAAAAAGGAAAACUGUCUGCCCCCAAGAAACAAUACUCAUCAGCCUGCGCCUGUGGAUCUGUUCGUGGUGGCGUGAUGGAUGUAUGUGUGGUGUUCAUCGCUGGCCUGAUGGAUGUGUGCAUGGUGUGUUAUCAAUGCAUCCAUGUUCAUGAUCGAUGUAAUAGCUGCAAGCUGCUGUGGUCAACUACCUCCGCCUCUCCAUCCAGUGUUGCAAGGGACCGACCUGAGAGCACAAGACGCAUAAUUGCCUUUCUCCCCCUCCCUGUUAUCUCUCUUAGUAAUUGA
This 357-nucleotide ribosomal RNA is filed under the name Triticum aestivum (bread wheat). RNAcentral describes it as "partial small subunit ribosomal RNA". Lineage: Eukaryota; Viridiplantae; Streptophyta; Magnoliopsida; Poales; Poaceae. The record is from RNAcentral.